Molecule: RNA transcript, 2682 nt
Organism: Zea mays
Lineage: Eukaryota; Viridiplantae; Streptophyta; Magnoliopsida; Poales; Poaceae
Gene name: nuclear transcription factor Y subunit A-7
Exons: 6
Source: RefSeq, a predicted model, not a curated record
UGUUGACAAUUUGUAUCGUAAAAAAAGGAUCGUGCAUCACAUGUUGCUCUAUGCCGUGUGUGUCUAGCAAUUUUGCUGGCGGAUGAUGUAUGAUAGCGAUGAGAGUGUGACAGAUCAUAUUUGUUUAACCCAAAAUCAGAAAGGAAAAAAAAACAGAGAGGGAGAGAAGAGCCCAGCAAAAAGGAUAUACAACGAAUGCAUAUUUGGCUGCGGCGAGGAGGGCCUUUCCGGAGCAGCACUGCAGCAGAGUCUUUCCAGGAGGGCUACUUGGGAGAGGGAGGGAGGGAGAGGAGAGGAGAGGAGAGAGAAAGGGGACUGGAUUGACGCGAAGACGGAGAGCAAGAAUCAAAAUGUUUUUGGAGAUUGAGUGAUGCGAUCUGAUAGUGAAAAUGCUUCUGCGAGAAAUGGAUGGUGAUCCAUUCCAUCCCAUGCCCAGCUAUGAUUUCCUGUCUGGGAACGGUUAUUCAUUAAAGCAGUUAGUGCGCAGCAACUCUGAUAUAGACUCUUCAUCAUCCAAGUCUAAGCAGUCUUGGCAAGACUUAUCUGACAGCAGCCUCAGUGGACAACACACACCAACGCAAUCUGGUAAAACAUUUCCGUAAGCGUUAUUACAACUUUUAUGAACCUAUUUGUGAUUUUUUAUAACAUAUUUGAGAUUUGAUCCUAGGUUUGCAGAUUGUUACAGAUAUGGCUGUUGUGGUAUAAUUAUACAAUGUACAUAUAAAAUAUUAAAACUUGUCCUCAAACUAGAUUGAAUUCAAGUUCUGACUACUCUCAGUAGUGUCCUAAUUGUAAACUUAACUAAGUAAUGAUCACAGGUUGUGUUGCAGUCCUGGCCAUUCUUCUAAGACUUUGCAGUCUUGGCCAUUCUCACUGCGACAUUGACAUAGUAAUAUAGUAUUCCUCAUUGAAACUAGUUUUAUACUAUCAAAUAUGUAUAAUGUUAUUUGUAAAUGGCAAUUGGUUACUGCAAUUGUCUUUUUCCUCUCCAAUGUAUUGAGUUUUUUUAUCAGAAUCUUCUACUUGCUGUUAAACCAUCCUACAUGCUGUAUUGAAAUGCCAUAUCUUUUUCAACUUAUUUGUGGAAUUGUUGUACUUGUAUCUAUAUGUUCCUAGAGUUUUGGUUCCGCACUCCACCUUGGUUAGAAACUUCAUGGCUAUCAUAGAUAUUAAUUUGAUUAUAUAUUUGUACUUGAAAUGAUAGGUUAUGGUAUGAUUUGGUAAACCAAAGUGACAAUAGUUUCAAAGUACAGUAUGUUCUUAGUCCACUCUAGCUUGAAUGCCCUGGAAUUGUAUUUGGCUGUGUUGCUACCUUGUUCCUCUCCCUUAUCUUGAUCCAAGAUCAGGUGCGAGCUUAAUGGCACUCAACAAUGCACUAAAGCUGAUUGUAUUAUGUGUACAAUGCACCAAAGACCAGACUAGAGGACCUGUCAUGCAUGCUGAUCAAAUUACUGUAGUCUAGCUUCUGCUAUUCUAAAGAAGAAAUUUUAGGGAAUGAAGAAAACCCGAUGGAUAUAUCCUAGACUACCCAUAUCUAGCUAUGCCUAAUAUACUCUUGAUACAUCUAAACAGGCCACAAAAUGUCUCGACAUAUUCUUAUAGGCUACACGAGAGAAUGCUUUUGUUGCAGAGUAAGAAGAUAAGUAUAAUUUAGCUAUAAGGGUAGAUAAGGAGAUUGUCUGUUAUGCUUGCUUAAAAGAUUAAGGCCUAUCAACUUGUGUAGAUAUGCUAAAUCUACUAAGCAAACGAAUAUGCACUCCUUGUUUCAGUUAUGAAAAAUCAUUUAUUAAUUUGUAUCACUACAGAUGGAUAGCAAGACUGUCCUUGUAGCUCCUACUCCUUUGAUCACUGUAUAACAGCUACCCACUAUUUUUCCAGGGUUGUGCUUCUUAUAGUGCUGAUCCAUAUUAUGGCGGGGUGUGGGCAGGAUACGCUUCAAAUGGAAUUGUCCAUCCCCAAAUUAGUGGUGCAGCAAACACUAGGGUACCAUUGCCAGUUGGGCCUGCAGCAGAGGAACCCAUAUUUGUCAAUGCAAAGCAAUACAAUGCUAUCCUCCGGAGGAGGCAAAAACGCGCAAAACUGGAGGCCCAAAAUAAACUGGUGAAAGGUCGGAAGCCAUAUCUCCAUGAAUCUCGGCAUCGUCAUGCAAUGAAGCGAGUCCGUGGACCAGGGGGCGUUUCCUCAACAAAAAGGAGCUCCAGGAGCAGCAGCUGAAGGCACUGCCUUCACUUCAGACUCCAACAGGUGGGGUCAGCAAAAUGGCCUUUGGCAGGAACCUAUGCCCUGAAAGCAGCACAUCUCACUCGCCUUCGACGAGCUCUACAAUCUCGAGUGCUUCAAACUGGAGUGGCACGCUAGCUCAUCAAGAGCACGUUAGCUUCGCAUCUGCUAAUAAAUUCCUCCCCAGCAUGAACUUCCACGCGGAGAAUGGAGGUGAAAAGAUGGCCAUCAAUGGCGUCCGCCACCACACCCCUGUCCUGAGGUGAACAACCUCAACUGUGGGGGUGCUGUGCUGGUACCAUCACUGGCGCGCUCCGGUGUGCCCGUGGCAAUUCAUCCUUGGCUUAUGAUGUAUCUUAUAGUAAUUUGCUUUCACUUUCAUAUGGAACUUGUCUCAGAUUAAACUCGGUGAUAUUUAUUGCAACUGGAUGACUGAAAUAAUCUCAUGUUUCUUACAAGUGU